CCUACGGGCGGCAGCAGUGGGGAAUAUUGGACAAUGGGCGAAAGCCUGAUCCAGCCAUGCCGCGUGUGUGAAGAAGGCCUUCGGGUUGUAAAGCACUUUCAGUGGGGAAGAAAGCCUUGGGGCUAAUACCCUCGAGGAAGGACAUCACCCACAGAAGAAGCACCGGCUAACUCCGUGCCAGCAGCCGCGGUAAUACGGAGGGUGCGAGCGUUAAUCGGAAUUACUGGGCGUAAAGCGCGCGUAGGCGGUCUGAUAAGCCGGUUGUGAAAGCCCCGGGCUCAACCUGGGAACGGCAUCCGGAACUGUCAGGCUAGAGUGCAGGAGAGGAAGGUAGAAUUCCCGGUGUAGCGGUGAAAUGCGUAGAGAUCGGGAGGAAUACCAGUGGCGAAGGCGGCCUUCUGGACUGACACUGACGCUGAGGUGCGAAAGCGUGGGUAGCAAACAGGAUUAGAUACCCCAGUAGC
RNAcentral lists this ribosomal RNA (464 nucleotides) under Vreelandella stevensii. RNAcentral describes it as "partial 16S ribosomal RNA". It matches the Rfam family "Bacterial small subunit ribosomal RNA", at positions 338 to 794 of the family's 1533-position model. Lineage: Bacteria; Pseudomonadati; Pseudomonadota; Gammaproteobacteria; Oceanospirillales; Halomonadaceae. The record is from RNAcentral.